This is a long non-coding RNA of Felis catus (domestic cat), 628 nucleotides long. RefSeq lists it as uncharacterized. The transcript has 2 exons. NCBI's taxonomy places the organism in Eukaryota, Metazoa, Chordata, Mammalia, Carnivora, Felidae. The record is from RefSeq and is a predicted model, not a curated record.
CCUGUACUGCCCGAAGAAAGUGCUGGCGCCGCAAUCAGCGUCCGCAGGUCCUUGCCUUCCCCGGGCAGGGGUGGGCUGGGACGGGCCGGGUGGUGCCGGCCGCGAGCGCCCAGCUCCGGAACCGGGACUCAGCUGCACUGUGGGGCUGCGUGCUCCUCGCAGGUCGGCGUGUGCCACUGGUGGCCAGGACAGGAGGCCCGGGAGGGACUGGGAGCCUCCAGGCAGGGGAGACCUGCCUUUAACAGACCGGACUCUGCCACCUCCGUGUUUUCCCUCCUUUUCCCCACUCCAGCUACUCAGGCCGACGUCACGAGUGGCCUCGGAGAGCUCAGUUUCCGAGUUCUAGAAGGAACCGGCAAUACAUCUGGGGAGCCUUCGUGCCGACGAGUGAGUGACCAGAGACCUACAAGCAGAAGUGGCUGGGAAGUCACACGGCGCCUUGUCCAUCUCCGUCUGUGCCACGCGGACCAGCCAUGAAGCAUUGUGGGAAGGGACCUGAGAAGGUGUGCGUCCAGGAGGCAGGACUCAUCAGAGGCCAUCUGGAAGGCCCGCCCAGGUCUGGGAGCCUGUGCACCCCGACCAGCUAACUCCCUGUGCCUGGAUUCUGGCUAACACAGAGCUGAAAUAA